UUGAACGCUGGCGGCAGGCCUAACACAUGCAAGUCGAGCGGAUGAAGGGAGCUUGCUCCUGGAUUCAGCGGCGGACGGGUGAGUAAUGCCUAGGAAUCUGCCUGGUAGUGGGGGAUAACGUCCGGAAACGGGCGCUAAUACCGCAUACGUCCUGAGGGAGAAAGUGGGGGAUCUUCGGACCUCACGCUAUCAGAUGAGCCUAGGUCGGAUUAGCUAGUUGGUGGGGUAAAGGCCUACCAAGGCGACGAUCCGUAACUGGGCUGAGAGGAUGAUCAGUCACACUGGAACUGAGACACGGUCCAGACUCCUACGGGAGGCAGCAGUGGGGAAUAUUGGACAAUGGGCGAAAGCCUGAUCCAGCCAUGCCGCGUGUGUGAAGAAGGUCUUCGGAUUGUAAAGCACUUUAAGUUGGGAGGAAGGGCAGUAAGUUAAUACCUUGCUGUUUUGACGUUACCAACAGAAUAAGCACCGGCUAACUUCGUG
RNAcentral lists this ribosomal RNA (483 nucleotides) under uncultured bacterium. Its description in RNAcentral is "partial 16S ribosomal RNA". It matches the Rfam family "Bacterial small subunit ribosomal RNA", at positions 30 to 507 of the family's 1533-position model. The record is from RNAcentral.